This is a non-coding RNA of Trichonephila clavata, 70 nucleotides long. NCBI's taxonomy places the organism in Eukaryota, Metazoa, Arthropoda, Arachnida, Araneae, Nephilidae. The record is from the annotation of a GenBank genome assembly.
AUAGUAGCGCAAUGGACAGUGCGUUGGACUUCAAAUCCAAAGGUCGUGGAUUCGAUUCCCACCUGGGCUG